Molecule: ribosomal RNA, 466 nt
Filed under: uncultured bacterium
Lineage: Bacteria
Description: bacterial SSU rRNA
Rfam family: Bacterial small subunit ribosomal RNA
Source: RNAcentral
UAGUCCACGCCGUAAACGAUGGUCACUAGCUGUGUGGAUUUCGGUCUGCGUGGCUAAGCGAAAGUGAUAAGUGACCCACCUGGGGAGUACGUUCGCAAGAAUGAAACUCAAAGGAAUUGACGGGGGCCCGCACAAGCGGUGGAGCAUGUGGUUUAAUUCGAUGAUACGCGAGGAACCUUACCAGGGCUUAAAUGUAAGUUGCAUGAUCUAGAGAUAGGUCUUUCUUCGGACUACUUACAAGGUGCUGCAUGGUUGUCGUCAGCUCGUGCCGUGAGGUGUCAGGUUAAGUCCUAUAACGAGCGCAACCCCUGUUGUUAGUUGCCAGCGAGUCAAGUCGGGAACUCUAACAAGACUGCCGGUGCAAACCGUGAGGAAGGUGGGGAUGACGUCAAAUCAUCACGGGCCCUUACGUCCUGGGGGCUACACACGUGCUACAAUGGUAGGUACAGCGAGCAGCCACUUCGCG